Molecule: ribosomal RNA, 440 nt
Filed under: uncultured bacterium
Lineage: Bacteria
Description: partial 16S ribosomal RNA
Rfam family: Bacterial small subunit ribosomal RNA
Source: RNAcentral
CCUACGGGAGGCAGCAGUGGGGAAUAUUGCACAAUGGAGGAAACCCUGAUGCAGCGACGCCGCGUGCGUGAAGAAGUCAUUCGUUAUGUAAAGCUCUAUCAGCAGGGAAGAAAAUGACGGUACCUGAGUAAGAAUCCCCGGCUAACUACGUGACAGCAGCCGCGGUAAUACGGAGGGGGCAAGCGUUAUCCGGAUUUACUGGGUGUAAAGGGAGCGUAGACGGCAGUGCAAGUCUGGAGUGAAAGGCGGGGGCUCAACCCCCGGACUGCCUUGGAAACUGUACGGCUGGAGUGCAGGAGGGGUAAGUGGAAUGCAUGGUGUAGCGGUGAAAUGCGUAGAGAUUAGGAGGAACACCAGUGGCGAAGGCGGCUUACUGGACUGUAACUGACGUUGAGGCUCGAAAGCGUGGGGAGCAAACAGGAUUAGAUACCCGUGUAGUC